RNAcentral lists this transfer RNA (72 nucleotides) under Patescibacteria group bacterium. Its description in RNAcentral is "tRNA-Glu". It matches the Rfam family "tRNA". From Rfam's summary of the family: Transfer RNA (tRNA) molecules are approximately 80 nucleotides in length. Their secondary structure includes four short double-helical elements and three loops (D, anti-codon, and T loops). Further hydrogen bonds mediate the characteristic L-shaped molecular structure. tRNAs have two regions of fundamental functional importance: the anti-codon, which is responsible for specific mRNA codon recognition, and the 3' end, to which the tRNAs corresponding amino acid is attached (by aminoacyl-tRNA synthetases). tRNAs cope with the degeneracy of the genetic code in two manners: having more than one tRNA (with a specific anti-codon) for a particular amino acid; and 'wobble' base-pairing, i.e. permitting non-standard base-pairing at the 3rd anti-codon position. The record is from RNAcentral.
GCUCCCAUCGUCUAGCGGUUAGGACAUCAGCUUCUCAAGCUGGGAACCGGGGUUCGAUUCCCCGUGGGAGCG